RNAcentral lists this ribosomal RNA (1906 nucleotides) under human gut metagenome. RNAcentral describes it as "bacterial LSU rRNA". It matches the Rfam family "Bacterial large subunit ribosomal RNA", at positions 466 to 2461 of the family's 2925-position model. The record is from RNAcentral.
CUAAAUACUACCCAGUGACCGAUAGCGUAUAGUACUGUGAAGGAAAGGUGAAAAGCACCCCGGGAGGGGAGUGAAAAAGAACCUGAAACCCUGUGCCUACAAGCACCUAGAGCGCGUCAAUGCGUGAUAGGGUACUUUUUGUAGAACGGUCCGGCGAGCGAUUGUAUGCAGCAAGGUUAAGGACUUAAGGUCUGGAGCCGAAGCGAAAGCGAGUUUGAAAAGGGCGUUAAGUUGCAUAUAAUGGGCCCGAAACCGGGUGACCUACCCAUGGUCAGGUUGAAGUGGAAGUAAAAUUCCAUGGAGGACCGAACCGACCUCCGUUGAAAAGGCGGCGGAUGAACUGUGGGUAGCGGAGAAAUUCCAAUCGAACCCGGAGAUAGCUGGUUCUCCCCGAAAUAGUUUUAGGACUAGCCUCAAGUUAGAUACCUGGAGGUAAAGCACUGAAUAGCCUAGCGGCCGAGAGGUUAGCGAAGCUUAUCAAACUCAGAAUGCCAGAGUAUUGAUGCUUGGGAGUCAGACAGUGUCAGAUAAAUGUCAUUGUCAAAAGGGAAACAGCCCAGAUCUACAGCUAAGGUCCCAAAGUCAGGUUAAGUGGAAAACGAUGUGAAGAUACGCAGACAACCAGGAUGUUGGCUCAGAAGCAGCCACUCAUUCAAAGAGUGCGUAAUAGCUCACUGGUCGAGCGUCUUUGCGCGGAGAAUUUAACGGGGCUAAACCUGACACCGAAGCUUAGGCAAUACAGCAAUGUAUUGGGUAGGGGAGCGUUGUAUACGCGGAGAAACAGUAGCGUAAGCGGCUGUGGAGUGUAUAGAAGUGAGAAUGCCGGAAUGAGUAGCGCGAAUGCAGUGAGAAUCUGCAUGGCCGAAAGCCUCAGGUUUCUGGAGGAAGGUUCGUCCGCUCCAGGUUAGUCGGGAGCUAAGGUGAGGCCGGAAGGCGUAGCCGAUGCACAGACGGUAGAGAUUCCGUCACCACCAAAAGAGUUAAGCACAGGGACACAUAUGAAGUCUCAGAGCCGGGUGUUGGUUCCGGUAGAGAUCGAGGGAAAUUAGUACCGAAGUCUGAGAUGGAAGAUGGCGAGAAAAGCUGUGUGUAUUUCUGAGGUGCCCGUACCGCAAACCGACACAGGUAGGUAGGAAGAAGAUUCUAAGGCCAACGGGAGAAGGGUUGUUAAGGAACUCGGCAAAUUGACCCCGUAACUUCGGGAGAAGGGGUGCUCCAGAGAUGGAGCCGCAGAGAAUCGGCCCAAGCAACUGUUUACCAAAAACACAGGUUUGUGCUAAAUCGAAAGAUGACGUAUACGAGCUGACGCCUGCCCGGUGCUGGAAGGUUAAGAGGAGAUGUGCAAGCAUUGAAUCGAAGCCCCAGUGAACGGCGGCCGUAACUAUAACGGUCCUAAGGUAGCGAAAUUCCUUGUCAGGUAAGUUCUGACCCGCAUGAAAGGCGUAAUGAUUUGGGCACUGUCUCAACAGCCCGCCCGGCGAAAUUGUAGUACCGGUGAAGAUGCCGGUUACCCGCGACAAGACGGAAAGACCCCAUGGAGCUUUACUGUAGCCUAAUAUUGGGUUUCGAUGUUGCAUGCACAGGAUAGAUGGGACUCUUGGAAACCAAGGCUUUGGCUUUGGCGGAGAGGCCGUUGGGAUACCAUCCUUGCGAUAUUGGAAUUCUAACCUGCGGCUCUGAAUCGAGUCGGGGGACAUUGUUAGGUGGGCAGUUUGACUGGGGCGGUCGCCUCCUAAAGAGUAACGGAGGCGUUCAAAGGUUCGCUCAGCUUGAACGGAAAUCAAGCAAAAGAGUGCAAACGCAGAAGCGAGCCUAACUGCGAGACUGACGGGUCGAGCAGUAACGAAAGUUGGAGUUAGUGAUCCGGUGGUAUGUGAGUGGAAAUGCCAUCGCUCAACGGAUAAAA